GGCUGGUUAGCUCAGUUGGUUAGAGCGUGGUGCUAAUAACGCCUAGGUCGUGGGUUUGAUCCCCGUACGGGCCA
Molecule: transfer RNA, 74 nt
Organism: Lepisosteus oculatus (spotted gar)
Lineage: Eukaryota; Metazoa; Chordata; Actinopteri; Semionotiformes; Lepisosteidae
Rfam family: tRNA
About the family: Transfer RNA (tRNA) molecules are approximately 80 nucleotides in length.
Source: Rfam